This 485-nucleotide ribosomal RNA is filed under the name uncultured bacterium. RNAcentral describes it as "partial 16S ribosomal RNA". It matches the Rfam family "Bacterial small subunit ribosomal RNA", at positions 30 to 507 of the family's 1533-position model. The record is from RNAcentral.
UUGAACGCUGGCGGCAUGCCUUACACCUGCAAGUCGAACGGCAGCACGGGUGCUUGCACCUGGUGGCGAGUGGCGAACGGGUGAGUAAUACAUCGGAACAUGUCCUGUAGUGGGGGAUAGCCCGGCGAAAGCCGGAUUAAUACCGCAUACGAUCUACGGAUGAAAGCGGGGGACCUUCGGGCCUCGCGCUAUAGGGGUGGCCGAUAGCUGAUUAGCUAGUUGGUGGGGUAAAGGCCUACCAAGGCGACGAUCAGUAGCUGGUCUGAGAGGACGACCAGCCACACUGGGACUGAGACACGGCCCAGACUCCUACGGGAGGCAGCAGUGGGGAAUUUUGGACAAUGGGCGAAAGCCUGAUCCAGCAAUGCCGCGUGUGUGAAGAAGGCCUUCGGGUUGUAAAGCACUUUUGUCCGGAAAGAAAUCCUUGGCUCUAAUACAGUCGGGGGAUGACGGUACCGGAAGAAUAAGCACCGGCUAACUACGUG